Non-coding RNA from Glycine soja, 113 nucleotides. The record is from Rfam. Lineage: Eukaryota; Viridiplantae; Streptophyta; Magnoliopsida; Fabales; Fabaceae.
GUUUAUCUCGGAGGAGUGAAUCUGAGAACACAAGGCUGGUUUGCACUGCUAUAUCAUCUAUUGGUAUAAGGUGAAUUUACUUUGUGUUCUCAGGUCACCCCUUUGAGCCAACC